This 441-nucleotide ribosomal RNA is filed under the name uncultured bacterium. RNAcentral's name for it is "partial 16S ribosomal RNA". It matches the Rfam family "Bacterial small subunit ribosomal RNA", at positions 338 to 795 of the family's 1533-position model. The record is from RNAcentral.
CCUACGGGUGGCAGCAGUGGGGAAUAUUGCACAAUGGGGGAAACCCUGAUGCAGCAACGCAGCGUGAGUGAAGAAGUAUUUCGGUAUGUAAAGCUCUAUCAGCAGGGAAGAAGAUAGACGGUACCUGACUAAUAAACACCGGCUAACACUGGUCCAGCAGCGGAGGUAAUACGUAGGGGACAAGCGUUGUCCGGAUUUACGGGGUGUAAAGGGUGCGUAGCCGGCUGUGCAAGUGUGAUGGGAAAGCCCGUGGCUCAACCGCGGAACUGCUUUGGAAACUGUAUAGCUUGAGUACUGGAGAGGCAGGCGGAAUUCCUAGUGUAGCGGUGAAAUGCGUAGAUAUUAGGAGGAACACCAGUGGCGAAGGCGGCCUGCUGGACAGAAACUGACGUUGAGGCUCGAAAGCGUGGGGAGCAAACAGGAUUAGAUACCCCAGUAGUC